UGUACCACGAGCUAUCACGAAAUUAUGCUGGGCCAAAAGGUGUUUAUACAGUAGUUUCUUCCUGUGCUGCGUUGUGCACGUCUGUUUCAUCAUCUGAGCUAUCAGUUGUGUUUCUUUGAAGCAAAGAUGUAUAGAAUAGCACUGAAAGUCGGAGGUGUCAUAUUUGUUCAACCUGGUGUUAAACGUAAUUUCAAUUCUUGACCAGUGCAUGUAAAGAAAUUGAAAAUAAAACCGACUUGACUUGACUUGUCAUUGGGUCUGAUUUUAAAUGUGCCAUAUAGUUCAAUGUGGGAGCAGGUUCACACACUAAAUAAGACACUAAGGUCAAGCACAAGCAGAUUAAAAAAAAAUAAAAAUUCUCAGAGCAGAUUAGAGCAGACGUUUCAGGUUGCUGCCAUCAGAGAGUAUUGACUUGACCUUAGUGUCUUUAGUGUGCUCCCACAUUGAGCUCUACUUUUUGGGUCCAUGCACCUACUUAUUUCUAAACAUCUAGAGCGCAACAAUACCCCUGCCUCCUGAUAUGCCAUAUAACCUGUAUCUCUCCAAGUGUGUGUGUGUGUGUGUGUGUGUGUGUGUGUGUGUGUGUGUGUGUGUGUGUGUGUGUGUGUGUGUGUGUGUGUGUGUGUGUGUGUGUGUGUGUGAGAGAAUGUGUGCACGCAGAUAUAAGAAGUUGGGGUUGAUGAUCCACAUGAUGGUGAUGGACCAGGACAGCUCUGGACCUCCUGACUGGCAGCUCCAUCCUCAACCUCUCUUCCUGCCCUUCACACAUGUGCAGGCAGCCAGUUUUCUGAAAGAUGGUUGAUGUCAGUACCAACAUGUUGUGAUGGAGGCUUCCACCUGAGCUGAACACAGAAACUUGCACACAGUGAUGGAAGCAGUCGUUCCUGUUCAGCAUCGAUAUGCCAGUAAUGGGUUUGAUGAGCCACAGCAUGGUGAUGGGCAAUCAGCAUCAGGACCAGGGCAGCUCACAAGGAGAACCUCCUGCCCUGCCUCGUCAUCCUCAACCUCCCAUCUCCCUGCUCUUCACACAUGUGCAGGCACGGAGCCAGUUUUCAGAGGGAGGGC
Engraulis encrasicolus (European anchovy) is the source of this 1065-nucleotide long non-coding RNA. RefSeq lists it as uncharacterized. Lineage: Eukaryota; Metazoa; Chordata; Actinopteri; Clupeiformes; Engraulidae. The record is from RefSeq and is a predicted model, not a curated record. The transcript is spliced from 4 exons.